This 200-nucleotide non-coding RNA is filed under the name Oscillospiraceae bacterium. RNAcentral describes it as "6S RNA". It matches the Rfam family "6S / SsrS RNA". Rfam says of the family: E. coli 6S RNA was the first non coding RNA to be sequenced, but its function was unknown until recently. It consists of 184 nucleotides that fold into an extended hairpin structure with a large single-stranded internal bulge. Lineage: Bacteria; Bacillati; Bacillota; Clostridia; Eubacteriales; Oscillospiraceae. The record is from RNAcentral.
CCCUUCCUGCUUGGUGCGUGAUGUGUCCUUUUGGACCCACAUUUAUUUUAAGGGAUGUUAGUUUCCCGGUUGGAUUGCAGACCUCCCGCCUACGCUUUGACGAUAGGUGGACGUUGGGAGCAGCUAAAACCCGGAGCGGCAACCCACCUGCCUAUGCGUGCAGGUCAUAAUCGGAUGCACACGGCCAAAGCGGGAUUCGU